CCUACGGGUGGCAGCAGGGAGGAAUAUUGGUCAAUGGACGAGAGUCUGAACCAGCCAAGUAGCGUGAAGGAUGACUGCCCUAUGGGUUGUAAACUUCUUUUAUAUGGGAAUAAAACAGGGUAUGCAUACCCUCUUGUAUGUACCAUAUGAAUAAGGAUCGGCUAACUCCGUGCCAGCAGCCGCGGUAAUACGGAGGAUCCGAGCGUUAUCCGGAUUUAUUGGGGUUAAAGGGAGCGUAGGUGGAUUGUUAAGUCAGUUGUGAAAGUUUGCGGCUCAACCGUAAAAUUGCAGUUGAAACUGGCAGUCUUGCGUACCGUAGCGGUGGGCGGACUUCGUGGUGUAGCGGUGAAAUGCUUCGAUCUCACGCAGAACUCCGAUUGCGAAGGCAGCUCCCUGGACUGCAACUGACACUGCUGCUCGAAAGUGUGGGUAUCAAACAGGAUUAGAUCCCCUUGUAGUC
RNAcentral lists this ribosomal RNA (460 nucleotides) under uncultured bacterium. Its description in RNAcentral is "partial 16S ribosomal RNA". It matches the Rfam family "Bacterial small subunit ribosomal RNA", at positions 338 to 795 of the family's 1533-position model. The record is from RNAcentral.